Molecule: long non-coding RNA, 11783 nt
Filed under: Brassica napus (rape)
Lineage: Eukaryota; Viridiplantae; Streptophyta; Magnoliopsida; Brassicales; Brassicaceae
Description: long non-coding RNA (BNAP_LNC001270)
Source: RNAcentral
UCAGGAAAUAAUCAGGCAUUAACAUUGUCAUUUUAUCUCUCUUCUUUCUAACAACCCAUCUCUUUAUCUUUUCUUUGUUCUAGCAAAAAUUCUUAAGGAGGCAGAAGAAGAAGAGAACCAUCGUAAGAAGAUAAAGACUUCUUACUCGCAUUUGAUAGACCGGUAAAUGUGACGAACGAAGAAAAGUGCAGCGCGGAAGCCGACAGUCCCGAGCAUUAAGAAGAACCCGUAGCAAAUGCAAGCCAUGUACCCGAAGAAGAACGAUGUUUGCAUGAAUCCAGACAUGUCUGAUCGUGCGUAGUAGUAGUAUAAGCAGUAGGCGUAGAUAAACAAACCGGUCGACCCACCGCAUAGGAAUGAUCUGCAAAUAAAAACAGUCUCAGGUUCUAUUGUUCAGAGAGAGAAGAAGGUAAAGACAAUGGGAAAUGGCUUAACGAACCUCCACCACCAUUGGUGAUCUUCAGCAGCGAGCUGGAAGUAAGUCAAGGCGACGGUUAUAAAAGCAGUGACAAUGAUGAGGAUGAUGAAGACAAUGAACAGGAUGCUGUAGAUGGUGUAGAUCCGGUGACCCCAGACACUAGCGAAAAUGUAGUAAAGCUCGAUGUAGAUGGCACUGAAAGGAAGAAAACCAGCCAUGGCCAUCUGAGGAACCGCGCUUCUGUACCAAGGGAGCGGCGGAAUCUCGCGGGGGUACUUGGUCGUGCGGCAGGGCGCUUGGAACUCAGCUUUGCUGUUUUUACCGGCGAUGCCACCUAAGACGAGUAGAGGCGAUGUGACUAGAGUCCAUAUAAGGACGAUCACGACAAUGGUUCCAAAGGGUAGUGCUGCGGUUGCAGUGUAGGUGAUGGCUACGGUGUUGAGGAAGCAGAAGGUUAGGAGUAAAGGACCGCAGAAGAGACAUCCAGUGAGUAACAAGUUUCUCACCUGCAGUAAUGUGAAACAAAAAAGUCGUUUAGUUUAUGUAAGAAGAUGAUUUGAGAAAGGAUUUGAAGUAAAAAUUAUUUACCCAGCUUUUGCCUUCAAGUUGGCAGUAGAAAGAGGCGGAUGUGUAUCCAGCAAUUCCAGAGGUUAGAGCGUAAAUGACAACCAAAGCGGUGAAGAGUGCUCCUCGGUUGUAAGGGUAGAACACUCCAACAAGAGCAAGCAUGAAAAUGAAUAUGGUCCUGAUGGGCGUGGACAAGCAAGGUAAACGCUACUGUGAGUGAUAGUGAAGAAAUGGUUUAAGUAGAGUUAUGAAACACUUACAGGGUAAACAAUUGUGUGCCACUACCAAGCGAUGCAGCAAACAAAGAGUUGCGAGUUGGGAACCUAAACACAUCACCAUGAAUGUACUUCCACCCAGUUUCUUCUAGAUCAUCAGCAGCUUCCUCGUCUUGAGCAUACCUGUAAAAAGAGUUAAUUAUCAGACAAUGAAAUGUAAAAUAGCCGAACCAUAAGGGGUAGGGAACACUCACUUGGUGAAAUCGUUCUUGAGGACUCGCAUCAAGAUAGUUGCAAGGAACCCAGUCAAAAGCAGGACAGUGACACACGAGUUAAUAAUAGAGAACCAGUGAAUCUCCAGGUGAUGCGGAAGAGAAGAAGACAUAGAGUACUUGUCCAUCCUCUUCUCGAACGGAGUCUCAGUCUCCUUCCACUUCACCGUAUACAUAAACUCCGCAUCAACUUCCUUAUCCUCAGUGAGAUCAACAAGCGAAUGUGGAUCCAUCCUAGCACUGAUCUCAAUCACACGGUCGUUGUUGUACAGAAUCUCGAACUCGAUGUGCUUGUACAAAAAGUACUUGUACUCGCUCGGAUCGGAUUUGAUCUCCUUGUCGACUUUCCCAAUGAAGCCCCAGAUGGGGAGAUCGUCGUAGUACAUCUGGAAGUAGUAGUCUUUCUCAACGGCUUGUCUGAACUUUCUGACCUCUUCUUUGCUUAGCUUCUUCUUGCAGUAGACUUCGGAGUCUUUCUCUUCUCUGAAGUUGAGCUUGUACGGAGCGCUGACGAGACGAUCGCCGUUCAGAACCUCUCCAAGAGCUUCCUUCUUCUCUUUCACUCCCUCUAGAAAACCAAAAUCAAACGUAUAUCAGAUAAGAAAAAAAGAAAAAAAAAACAAAUAGUGUGGUGAAUCUAUAGUACCUGGAACACAGAAGGGAAGAUCAAAGUAGCGAUACGUCUCACUGCGAUCAAAAUCGAAUAAGAAGCCAAGAUCAGUCUAUAUAGUAUUCAAAUCUAAACUCAGAUCCAUCCAUCACAAUGUCUAUAUGAAUAAUUCAACAGCAAGAGAUUCAUUGCAUUUCGCAGCUUUUACAAUCAAUCGCUGAUACAUUCUCAGAUCUGAAGUUCAGAUCUAGCGGAAAAGUCUCAGAGACACACGCGAGCGUUACCUUGGAUUGUGGAAUGGGCCGACCUUGUUGGCGUAUAGAGGAACGAUGUCUCCUUCCUUGUAACGGUGGUCGGAGGCGUCGGAUCUGACAUAGCCGACGCUGGAGAGGAUUAGAGCUCCGAGUAAGAGGAGCAGCUUCGUCAUUGCGUUUUCUCUUCUUCAAAUCAGUGAGAUCUGAGUUUGUGUUUGUGCUUUAUGAAUCUGUAUCCGACCCUCUCGAGGAGAAUUAAUCAGCCCUGUGAGUUAUAGACGAAACCGUAUUCUGGUUUACGGAUGGGCCACUCGAUUUAAAUGGGCCUUUUAAUAUCUAUAUGUAAUUGGGCCUUUUGAUAUUCAUAUGUAUAUCUGCUCCUAGUAUCCACACAUGCUUACUUUGUUGGAGAUACUUAAAACGCUUGAUGUGCCAUCUUACAAGGUAACAACAAAGCUUAGAGAGUUUUAUCGAACUAGUUUUCACUGAUUAUUGAAUUUGAGUUUCUUGUUGUUGUGUUGAGGUUCAUUUUUCAAGUGCAGUGUAUAGCAGUAUCUAAAUACAACCAACAACGAGUUCUUGGUCUAGUGGUAAAAGAGUGUCUAGCAGACACUCCACCACUCGGAUUCAAUUUUCAUCACAAAGAACUUUUACAUUGUGUAACUGGAUCAAUGUUAUAAUGAAUUUAAGCUUCAAAACUACAACAGAAAAAUUUAAAACAUUAGUCUUGUAAGAAGAUAAACUGUCGUCUUCUUGACUCUAAUGAAUGUACAAGUCUUGUAAAAGAGUUUUAGAAGCUGUGUACUCAAAGCAUGUGCAUGUGAACCUUCUUACAAAAUGCUUGGUCCGCUUCGAGGGCAUUCACUUUCAUUUUUAGCGUGUCCAUGACAUCAUAAGCUCCUCGUAGUUUCUUCCUCAAUGCAUCCUCAGUCACAUCUCUGCGUCCUCUUUCUUCUUGAAACACAUCCAUCACUGCCUUCUGCGACUUUUCAAACUCUUGGUUCUUUGCUUGUGACACCUUAAGUUGUGACUCAAGCAACCCUCUAUCUCUCUGCAGCUCUACCACCAAUUCAUCUACAACCUUUUGAGAUUCCUCCAAAUCCUGGAUCUUAGCUUUAUGUUCAUGUAACUCCUCCACCAGUUUUGAUGAUUCAACAUCUUUCACCUUGAGUGAAUCCUCCAAGUCUUGGACUACAGACUUUGAUAACUCAAGACAGGCUUUCUGUCUCUGGAGAUCAUCCUCUUUGACCUUGUGCCUCUUCUCCAAAUCUUGAAUUUUAUACUGUGACUGCUUGAUUUGCAACUCAAGCUGUCCCUUCUGUCUCUGCAGCUCAACCACAAGUUUUGCUGACUCAUAAUCUUUGACCUUGGGCCUCUUCUCCAAAUCUUGAACCUUGGAUUUUGACUGUCUGAGUUGCAGCUCAAGCUGUCUCUUCUGUCUCUGCAACUCAGCCACCUGUUUUGUCUCUACAUUUUUUAAAUUUCUUGUCUUCUCCUCAAGCUGUGCUUUCUGUCUCUUCUCCAAUUCUUGAACCCUAGCUUUUGGAUGUCUGACUUGCGGCUCAAGCUGUGCCUUCUGCUUCUGAAACUCAGCUGCUUUAUGAACUGACCUUGUUUCCUUGCAACUCACCCCAAGCCCAUUAGUCCUGUUCUUAAGCCCAAUCUCAUGCGUUCUGUUAGCAACACUUGGUUGUGUAGUCUCCUUCUGAGAGUUUCUAUUUGGCCUGCACUGAGCUGGAUCUGCACUAGUAGGAGCUUCAGUGACACCACUUUCAUGAUUCUUCUGAAUCCUCCUUGGAGCAUACCCAAUCUCAUGACACCUCUUAGACCAAUAAGUCUUCUGAUACUUGUUCAACCUGUUCUCAACUCUAGCAAGAAGAGCGCUUAAAACAACUAUUACAGUAGUUAGAAGCGACAGAGGAGGCGAGUAUGUUGGUCCAUUCAAUGCAUUUUGUAAAGAACAUGGAAUAAUCCAUCAAACUACAGCUCCUUACUCACCAGAAUCUAAUGGAGUUGCGGAACGCAAAAAUCGAACUCUAAAAGAGAUGAUGAAUGCAAUGUUGCAGGAAUCUGGGUUACCCCAGAACAUGUGGGGGGAAGCNNNNNNNNNNNNNNNNNNNNNNNNNNNNNNNNNNNNNAAGAACCGAACCGAUCCCAAUUCGAAUAAGUAGUAUCAAAUCUGAACCGAAAUUGAUUAAAUAUAUGAAUUAUUAAAAGUUUUGGUAUUUGAAGAACUGAAACCUAAUCCGAUCCAAACCAAAGUAUUUUGGGUAUCCAAAAUAGAUUUAUAUACUUAUAUAUAUUAAUUAUUUUUAGAUUUAAUAUAUAUAAAAACAUCCAAAAUAUACAGUAUAACCACUUUAAAUUAAUUCUCUAUAAAUUAAUAUACACUGAAAAUCUCUAUAUAAUAAUAUAAUUUUAUAGUCACAAAAUGAGUUUUUGGUUUAAUUAGUAUAUCGUUAAAUUAAUAUCUCUAUAAAUUAAUAAAAAAAUUAUAGUUUUGGUGUAGUCCCAACAUUAUUAAUUUAUAGAGGUUUCACUGUAUAUGAUAUUUUUAAGUUCAUUUAAAUACUUAAAAAUAUAUAAAUAAUCAAAUGUAAAUAUCUAAAAUAGUUAAAACUAGGUGUUUCUCCCGCAUUUGCGGGUUUAAGCAUUUUAUAAUUAUUUAUUAAUAUAUGCAUUACUAAAUAAGCAAUUAUAAUGAUAAAUUUCUAUUUUUUUUUAAAAAAAAAAAAUUGUAAUUAUUAUAAUUUUUUGAAUUUUUUUGUAUGCUAUAUUCAACAUUAAAUAAUAAAUGCUAGAAAUCACUCAAUACUAUCUUUUCAAUUAUAUAAAUUAAGAAUUUAUAUUGAUUCAUAUAAAUAUUUUAUUCAAAUAUAUUUUAGGAUAACCACACAAUAUAUAUAAGAAUUAUCUUUUGUUUUAAAAUAACUAUUUUUAUUUAUUUUUUAGAUUUUAGAUAAUUCUUAUUAUUAUUAGUGUUAAUCACUUACCUUGUAUAAGAAAAUUAAAACUUGUUUUUAUUAUAGCUAAUUUUUAUAUUUUAUUCAUUAAGGGUAACAUCGUAUUUAACCACUAUAACUUUUAAAGUGAGAUCUCCGUGGCGAAAAAUCACUUCGCAAAUAAUAAUAUAGACUAGGUGUUUUGCCCGCACAUGCGGACAUAGUCAUCUUACAAAUACUUAUUAUUUUAUGUCUUAUUAAUCCAAAAAUCAGCAUAAUAAAACUCUAAUUGGUGAACAUGUUGAAGGAAAAAAAUUAUGGUGAAUUCUUUGUUUCUCAAAAUUUAUACCAGUUAUGUUGAAAUUUUAGUCAAAUUAUUGAAAGGUAGAUCCCACUUUUUUCUUUUAAAUUCCCCAUGGAAGAAUGAAUUUAUAAGAAAAAAUUUCCCUAUGCAAUUUUGAUAAGGAAAAAAUUGAACAAAAAUUCAUAUAUUUUUUUAUUUUUUCAAUUUCUCAAAUGAAAUUUUAUUUUUUAUUUUGUUCAUUUUUUUUAUUCUUCCAGUGGUCACCAACUGAAGCUAUAGUGUUUCACGAAUUAGACUUAAACUGAUUUAAAGUAAAAGCAAGAAAAUUUGUUUUGAACUCAGUCACAAGUUAAGUUAUUAUUUAUGAUUUUAAAUAGCUAAAUAGAACAUCAAAUUAUUUAUAUAUGUCAAAAAACGUUCAUAAAACUGUGUACUUAUUAUUGUGUUAAAAGUUUUAAAACACUCAUCUAUUUGAAAUAGUUUAUAAAAUAUCUUUAUAUUAAUAUUUUUGUUCGACAAAUAUUUAAUUAUAAACUGUUUUAUAUCUUAGUUUUUUAACUUUAUAAUAAAAAAAUAUUGUUUUCAGAUAGCAACACAAUAUAUAUAAGAAUUCUCUUAAUUUUUAAAUAUAUUUUCACAAUUUUAUUAUAUUAGUUUAUAAUUAAUUAUUUAAUAUAACAUAUAAAUUUAAUAUUAUUAAAAUAAAAUUCGUGUUUUAUUAUAUAUAAAAUUCAUUACGGGUUUUGUGAAAAUUAAUAAAUACUCAGUUAAAAACUAAUAAUAAAUCAAUGACCUAUAUAAAAGCUUAAAACCUAAUAAAAUAUGACGAAUAAGAAAAUGAGAAUUUUAAUAUAACAUACAGACUUAAAUAUUAUUAAAUCAAAAUUUAUUUUUAAUUAUAUAUAAAUUCAUUACGAAUUUUUUUAAUUAAUAAAUUAGUGAUUCAACUAAAAAUUAUUAAUAAAUCAAUGACUAAGCUAAAACCUAAUAAAACAUGACAAAUAAGCAAAAUUGACUAAAAUCAUGGAAAAUAUGACAAAUAAGCAAAAUUAAAAUAAUUAUAUAUCUAAUUACAUAUUUUAUAGUUAUAGUAUUUAAAUUAAUAAAUUAUGGGCUCAACUAAAAACUAUUAAUAAAUUAAUGACUCAGCUUAAAUCUAAUUAAAUCUUGACAAAUAAAAAAUAUUAUCUAAAAUCAUGGAAAUCAUGACAAAUAAGCCAAAUCACUUCAUAAAUAAUAGUAUAGAUUAUCCAUUAAUAACUAUUUACCUAUGUUAUAUUUGUAAAAAGAAAAUUCCCAUGCGAAGCAUGGGCUCAAACUAGUAUAUACAUAAACCCUGUAUUUACUCCACCCAUAAACCCUAAAUACUAAAUCAGCAAGUCGAUCGAUUCUCUCUCGGAAGCUCUUCUUCAGUUGUGACCGUGAGUGCUCAUUGAGGUAUCAUAUCAUCUUCUUCUUCUCUUCUUCAAGAGCAUAAAGACUAGUGUUUUUUAUCAAUUCAUCAAUGCCCUUCUAGUGUUUUUUUUUUUUGCUUGCUUCGUAAUCUUACAGGUGUUUCUUGUAUCUCUUGAAAUAAGGACUUGUGUCUUAACAUCAAACUUGUUUGAUUUGUUUUUUCAGAUGCUUCAGAUUGCUUUUUAUUUGUCAUGUGGUGCCACAGCAUGUUACCUUUGGGGCCGGAGGAUUAAAGCGUUAGUCUUUUCCUCUUCCCAACCCUUUUGGAUUUUGAAUGUGUUGAAACACCUUUUAUCAAUCGAUAUGUGUGUUUGUGUUCCUGCGAUGGUGCAGGAAAGCUGACUCUUUUAGCAGUAUCACACGUGUGGUGGACUUCAAACGGUUAGGUGUGUUUUCUGUUUUAUAGUUAAGACUCUUGUUAUUAUUAUUUUAUUAAUUGGUUUCUGAUUACAAGUGAUCAUCAUGUUUUUUUCCUUCUCUUAGAUGAGCUGCUUAAAGAGAAAGCCUCGAAGCUCCUUGUUGUUGUGUCGGGAAAAGUUGCUUCUGCACUCCUUUGGGUGCUGUUUUUUAUGCUAAGGUAAAAGACUUCUUUUAUCUUCUAAAAAGUUGUCGUCAGCAUCAUCGUUCUCUGGUCUGGUGGUGUUAUUUUUAGUUAGAACAACAUGUAUACUGUGUCUUUCAGGCCGAAAUGGGGUGUACUGAGACCGAGUUGGGGGAUGAUGGUAGCGCUUGGAUAACAAAGUCUCAUAAUUUUCUGUUUCAAGUAAAGCGUUGUCCUUGGUAUCUUGUAAGUUACAUUCUCAAAUACCUUCAUUUUUUUUUUUGCUAUGUCUUGCCUGCCCCUCAUGACUUGAAGCCUACCUCUUUCUCUCGCUCGCUCAAUCAACUAUUUAGGAAGACAGUACUGGUGUGGUGAAAGUAGUGGGAGCUGAAGCUGCUGAUGACUUUCUUGAUACUCUGACACCGCAUUUGGAUAUGUCACUAAGUGAAAUCUUUGGUAGUAUUGUAGAACCUAAACAAGGCUCUCAGGUUACCUUUUCUCUUUCAUUUUUUUUUUGUCUUUCUCUGUUUAUUUUAGUCUUUUUCAUUGGGUUGGAACCAACAGUGUGAUUGUUUUCAUCUCUAGACGAUUUUUCGGGCUUCUCUCGAUACUGGUACCUCCUUAACUAUUAUUGGCGAGGUAAAGGAAGCCCCCAUGUGUUUAUUCUUUAUAUUGUGGAUCAUGUAAGAGUGGCUGUGCAAGCUAAUAUAAGUUGAUGUGUCUGUGUCCUUGUCUGUACUGUAGGCUGCUAGAGACGAAGCUGGUAAUCUCACGAUUCAAAACACCAAUGAACAGCCUUUUAGGAUCUUCAGUGGAGAGGGCUCGUUUGAUAAAAUGGUUGCCAACUUGAAGUCAAAUUCAGAGUAAGGACAGAGACUCAUCAUGUUUUUGUUUAUACAUGGUGAUGAUAAUCAAAUUUUCUUGUGUUAUUUUUUAUGCAGGUUUUAUUUUUUCUAUUCCAAGAUCUUUGGAACUAUUGCUUUUGCUAUAGUUGUUUUUAAAGGCGUGAGUUUCAUACGAAGGGUUUUACGUGAGAGAGCAGAUAAUGCUGAUUCAGACGACGAAGAAACGCCAUGAGGGAGUAGAAUCAGACAACAGUAGUUUAUAGGAUCAGCUUUAAAGGCUCAGGCAGAAGAAUCAGACACCAAUGAUUUAUAACUAGGAUAGAUUUUUUAUCUAUGGUAUUGGGUAGGCAAAAUGUUUAUGAAUAUUUUAACAAACCAUCGUUUCUUAUUCUGACAGAUGAACAAAUUUAAAAAAAAAUUAUAUUGUCCAAAUUAACUAUGUGAUUCUAUUACAUAGUUGAACACACGUUGAUUUAUUCUAUUUAUAGCUUUACAAAACUUGUUAAAAGGAUAUAAUUUAAUUUAAAUAAGAACAUUAUUUCAAUGUAAUAAAAGCAGACAUUUUCCCUUUGUUUGGAUCAAAUUAAUGUAAACAGCCAUUAAAUUAGUCAAUGAACAUAAAUUCACCAACUCGGACAUAUAAUGUACGAAAUAAAAACAUUUAAUUAAAAAGAAUAUCUGUUACAACUUACAAGUCAGUAAAAUGUUUAUAAAAAUAACAAAAGAAAGAGAAAAAAAAAAUACAAAAGUAAAAAAAAUUCAAACUUCCCUUGCAGAUUUUCUUCCUCAGACAUACAAACAAACAAACAGAACAUAAAAAGCAACCGUAUGAUAAAACAACUCUUAAACUCAGAUGGGGUUACCUGAAACUAAUCAUCUGAUGGUGACGAACUUGUUAGUCCCAUGUCUAGCCCAAUGGCUCUUAAGAUCAAUGGGGCUCCCAAAGUUAAACCCAUCAGAAGAAAGUUUCUCAAGAACCUUCUUAAACGCUCCUUGACUCAUCUUCCUCCCGGAGAUCCUCGCUCCACGGCGUUUAGUACUCAUCGGCAACGGGUGCAUCGAUAUGUUCGUGGUGCAACACGCAGACUGCCAACCGCCGCAUCCCCAACGGUAGCAUUGCUGAGGAGCUCCGGUGCAAGUGCAGACCGGUACAGGUAAACCGGAAAUGUCCAUGUUCACUCCGUUGAUAAUCAAGUCAACGCUUUUCUUAGCCGGUUUGACUCUUGAAACGUUAGUCUUGCUGUCGUUCUCUUCUUUCGGUUUACGAGGCUUCUUCCCCUUUGCUGUUGCGCUAGCUUUUGAGUUAGUCUUUCUCUUCUUGUUAGGCUGAACAAUCUCUUCUUCUUCUUCGCAUUUAACCGGGUUAUCCUCGGUUUGAUGAUGGUGAUGGUGAUGCAUGGACGGGGCUGAUGAAGUUUCGGGGAGAACGUUUCCGUAGUUAGGAGAGGUUGUUACAGGCAACAUGUUGAAGAACUUGUCCUUCUGUUGGUUAAUCCAGUUGUAGCUCAUGUGGAUUGGUGGCUCAGCGUGGUGGUAUGACCCGUUUUGGCCAAUCAUUAGAUUUGGAUCUCGACCGGGUAGAAACGGUUUAGUGUUCCGGUCAGCGCUUGACAUUAGCUGCAAACCGAGGUUGCCUUUGAACGUAGCAGCAGCUGGUUCGUAGUAACCCCAAUUGCGAAACCCAUCGUCAUCCAUUUUCAAAGAUCUACAAAACAUGUCAAUAUAAAAAAAAGACAAUCAGAGAUUCAAAUCCAAAUUCAGACAAAACAAAAGCCAGUUCAUGUUCCAAUUAGCCAAAAUCAAAUCAUCCUACCAUUUAUUAUAUCCAAUGUUCCAGAGAUAACACAUCAGAUGUUAAAGAUAGCAAGAAAACAAAAAUUAGAGUGGAUAUAUACAUGAAAUCCAGGGAACUUUUAUAUGAUAUUCCGACAUAAGAACAUUUUCUUGUCGGAACCAACAUGCACAGCUUCUAGAUCUGGGGAGUCCAGAGCUAGAUCUACGGAAAAUGGACAUGAAUCAAGGAGAUCCACAGCCAAAAUCUAAUGAAACAUCAAGAUAUGUACAUAUAUUGGACGGAGAUAAAAGGAUUUGAAGCAAAAGCGUUGUUGGUACAGUACAGGAAAAAAAGGUCCCAUUGUAAAUAUUCAAAACUGAGAGAAAGAGAGAGAGAGGCAUGAUAUGGAAAUGGAUUAGGAAAGAGAAAACUUACAUAUGAGAUUGGGUUAACAAACGGCUCUUUAAGGGAAUUUUUGCCCUUCUGGAGAGAGAGGAGAGAGAGAGAUUGGAGGGAGGGAGGAAAGAGAAGGAAGAGAGAGGAGAGAGAAACCUGAAGGGAAAGAUAAGAUCUGAAGAAAGGGAAAGGGUUUUUAUUUUUAUUUUUUUUGAGUGGAACAGAGAGAGAACCCUAAAAUAAUUGAAAAUCAUUUUCUAAUUUUAAAAUAUACACAAUCUAAAAUAAAUAUCUUUCCAAAAGGCUUUUUUCAUUUUUCUCUCCGCGUUGUACUUGAAAUGAAGACUUUCUUUUUAUGUUUGGUCACUGUAAGAAAGCCAUUUGAGAAGAAGACAAAACAAAAAAAAUAACAAAGCCCACUUAUUGGUCUUUUUGACAUCGUGUCAAAACCAAAUUUUUUAAAAGGCAACGAGAUCGUUCGUGAAAAGAUGAGACGAGGAACAUGAGAUUAUGAAGAAAAAAUACUAAUUCUUCAUAAAACUUUCUAUUGGUAAUUUUUUUUUUCUGUAAUAACAAAUUCUGUGUUUAGCAAACCGAACGUUUUGGGAAUGUUAAGACACAAGUGUAUCCAAUGUGAAGCUCAUAUUUUAUACAUAUAUUGCAUUGCUCAUAGUCAGAGCUUGUCCCUCGCAAAUCAUAAUAAUUCCAUUCCUGUGCGUUCUCUGAACCAGAACUUCGCUGAUUCCCCCAAAGUUAUCAAAUAGAUUUAAACAGAUGCAAAUAUUGCACAACGAUCAUGACUACCUUGAAUAAGAGAUUUGACAUUUAUUACAUACAAAAAAAAAGUCCGAAGGUAUGAUCAUCUUUUACAAUCCAUAAAAUAUAUAGAAAAGGAUACACGUAAGUAAUUUUAAUUUCCGUAGCCCAAAAUAACGAGAAGAAGAGAGAGACAGAGAAGAGAUGCUUUUUCAGGAAAUAAUCAGGCAUUAACAUUGUCAAUAUAUCUCUCUUCUUUCUAACAACCCAUCUCUUUAUCUUUUCUUUGUUCUAGCAAAAAUUCUUAAGGAGGCAGAAGAAGAAGAGAACCAUCGUAAGAAGAUAAAGACUUCUUACUCGCAUUUGAUAGACCGGUAAAUGUGACGAACGAAGAAAAGUGCAGCGCGGAAGCCGACAGUCCCGAGCAUUAAGAA